CAACGAUACUGGCAAACCCGUCGAAAGUCGGGGACGCAAAGCCUCAGAUCUAACGCAUGACAAUGCUAAGAUGGCUGGGUUACCGAA
RNAcentral lists this non-coding RNA (87 nucleotides) under Litchfieldia salsa. RNAcentral's name for it is "Bacillus sp. A24(2010) c-di-GMP-I riboswitch aptamer". It matches the Rfam family "c-di-GMP-I riboswitch aptamer". Rfam says of the family: GEMM was predicted in a large-scale screen for bacterial structured RNA regulatory elements. Genes associated with GEMM are involved in a diverse array of functions, including chemotaxis regulation, signal transduction, secretion and chitin. Lineage: Bacteria; Bacillati; Bacillota; Bacilli; Caryophanales; Bacillaceae. The record is from Rfam by way of RNAcentral.